AUGAUAAUAGAUAAUACUUUUGAUGCAAUCUGCUUGAGUGAAACCUGGCUAAAACCAAAUUAUUAUUUUGGUCUAAACGAGUCUACUCCACCAAAAUACUGUUAUAAGCAUGAGCCCCGUCAGACUGGUCAACAAUAUAUAGUGAUAUUCUCAAUGUUACCCAGAAAACAGGAUACAUACAGGUUUAACUCAUUAGAAAUACUUCUGCUUAAUGUUUCACUGUCAGACAUGCAAAAGAAAUCUAAUGUAUCUCUUGCUCUGGCUACUGUGUAUAGACCACCAGGGCCGUAUACAGAAUUCCUAAAAGAAUUUGCAGAUUUCCUCUCAGACCUUCUGGUUACAGUUGAUAAAGCGCUAAUCAUUGAUAAUAAAAAUGAUGCAUUAGGACUUACGUUUACUGACCUAAUAAACUCUGCUUUUGGAGUCAAGCAAAAUGUCACCGGGCCCACUCAUCGUUUUAAUCAUACACUAGAUUUAAUUAUAUUGCAUGGAAUCGAUGUUACUGCUAUAGAUAUUGUAUCUCAAAGUGAUGAUGUUACAGACCAUUUACUUGUAUCGUGCAUGCUGCGUAUUACUGAUAUUAACUAUAUGUCGCAGCGAUACCGUCUGGGCAGAACUAUUGUUCCAGCCACCAAAGAAAGAUUCGCAAAUAACCUGCCUGAUCUAUCUCAACUGCUAUUUGUACCCAAAAAUACACAUGAAUUAGACGAAAUUACUGACAACAUGGGCACUAUUUUCUCUAAUACAUUAGAAACUGUUGCCCCCAUCAAAUUGAAAAAAGUUAGAGAAAAACGUACUGUACCAUGGUAUAACAGUAAUACUCACUCUCUCAAGAAAUUAACUCGUAGUCUUGAACGCAAAUGGAGAAAAACUAACUUGAAAUUUAUUAGAAUUUCAUGGAAACACAGUAUGUCCAGCUAUAGACAGGCUCUAAAAACUGCUAGGGCAGACCAUAUACACAAACUCAUUGAAAAUAACCAAAACAAUCCAAGUCUUUUAUUUAGCACAGUGGCUAAGUUAACAAAUUACCAGACGCCACCUGAUUCAAAUAUUCCAUCAACGUUUAAAAAUAAUGCCCUUAUGAAUUUCUUCACUGAUAAACUAGAUGACAUUAGAAAUACAAUAGCGAAUGUAGAUUCUACAACAUCUAACACUUCAGUUUCAUCCAUCGCACCCAAAGAUAAACUGCAGUGCUUUACAACUUUAGGACAGGAAGAACUAAAUAAACUUAUGACUGUAUCUACUUCUCAAUAUCAUUAA
This 1260-nucleotide long non-coding RNA is filed under the name Carassius auratus (goldfish). RNAcentral's name for it is "lncRNA (ENSCARG00000001831.1)". Lineage: Eukaryota; Metazoa; Chordata; Actinopteri; Cypriniformes; Cyprinidae. The record is from RNAcentral.